This 442-nucleotide ribosomal RNA is filed under the name uncultured bacterium. RNAcentral describes it as "partial 16S ribosomal RNA". It matches the Rfam family "Bacterial small subunit ribosomal RNA", at positions 338 to 795 of the family's 1533-position model. The record is from RNAcentral.
CCUACGGGAGGCAGCAGUGGGGGAUAUUGCACAAUGGGGGAAACCCUGAUGCAGCGACGCCGCGUGGGCGAAGAAGUAUUUCGGUAUGUAAAGCCCUAUCAGCAGGGAAGAAGAAAUGACGGUACCUGAGUAAGAAGCACCGGCUAAAUACGUGCCAGCAGCCGCGGUAAUACGUAUGGUGCAAGCGUUAUCCGGAUUUACGGGGUGUAAAGGGAGCGCAGGCGGCACGGCAAGCCCGAUGGGAAAGCUCGCGGCCCAACCGCGGGACAGCGUUGGGAACUACCGGGCUGGAGUGCCGGGGAGGUAGGCGGAAUGCGUGGUGUAGCGGUGAAAUGCGUAGAUAUUAGGAGGAACCCCAGUGGCGAAGGCGGCCUACUGGACGGUGACUGACGCUGAGGCUCGAAAGCGUGGGGAGCGAACAGGAUUAGAUACCCGAGUAGUC